This is a long non-coding RNA of Dermacentor silvarum, 417 nucleotides long. RefSeq lists it as uncharacterized. The transcript has 3 exons. Lineage: Eukaryota; Metazoa; Arthropoda; Arachnida; Ixodida; Ixodidae. The record is from RefSeq and is a predicted model, not a curated record.
CACACAUGGCACUUUGUUGCCUCGGGUCCUGAUGACAAGCGAGACAGCUGUUUUUAAUUUGUGUUCCUGUCUCAUUUUUAACGUGUGUUGCAGUGUUUGUACUGCUGCUGCACAGCGCAGCUUCUUGCAGCUCGUUUGAACUUAUUGCAUCACAAUUCUUUUUGGCAGGAUCCGAUGGAGAUGCUGUCGCAUCAACAUUGUUUUUGGGAGACAUCGAACCGGAUCCAACUGAUGGAGAGGACGAGAUGGAACCAGACAGCACUGACGAUGAGGCAUCAAACGACUUGCCAGAGAGCAUGCAAUUGUUACAAGCACAGUUGCCUGCACCAUCACACCACAUGGGUGGAUUUUCAAGAAACCUGCAGGCUCGCAUGCAAGAGAAGUACCUGGAGAAAUGUCGAGCAUAUAAUGCAUUGC